UAUGAACACAUUGACAGCAACACCACGUCCUACUCCUUGUACGUCUAUAAGUACAUCUGCCAUUAAUUCCCAGGGAUCCAUAUCUGCGUACUCCAAGGAGAAUCAUUUCCUCAGGAUAUAAAAGGCGGAGCUAAGAGCACAGGGCUGGACUGACAAACUCAAAGAAGCCGUGAACCAUUUACUCUGCACACUGAGAGAAUCCCUCCAGACCUGAUACUGUCUCUCUCAAAACAGGACCUUCCAACCUGAAUGACUCUGGAUUAAAAGAAAACACACAUGAGGAUUAAAACGCAAGACAUUGAGGAAACUUGUUUGGCAGAUUUUUUUCUCCUUCUGUUUUUAUCGGGUGAGACUUCAUGUGUGACGUGCUUUCCUUGCCUUUUCAGAAAUACAGUACUUAUGCUCUAUAUGCAGAGCUUGUAAUUCAUAUUUGCUAAUUACCUGGCAAGUGUAUUUGACUGUUCAAAUGGAAAACGCUACUGCAUCUCCCUACCAACUUAUUGAUGACUGUGAUGCCUCAGACACAACACUGUAUAAAUUCUAUGCAGCUGUUAUGAUUGUGAUUUUCAUCCUGGCUUUGCCUCUGAACGCAUCUGUCCUCCACCUCUUCAUAUUCAAGCUGAAAUUCUGGAAAUCCAACUCCAAUAACAUCUUCCUUUUCAACCUGGUGUUGGCUGAUAUUCUCCUGAUCUUCUGUUUGCCCAUAAAGGCAUAUAAUUACAUCCAAGGAGAGAGGAGGAUUGAGAAUGACGCGGUUUGCAAAGCCAUGCUCUUCAUGUUGUUUUUAAACCGAGGGGGGAGCAUUGCCUUUCUGACUGUGAUUUCCAUUGAUCGAUAUCUUCACGUGGUACACCUUGGUCGAAGGAAUCUCCUAAAAGUUCUCAAGAAAUCGGGUCUGAUCUCGAUCCUCAUCUGGCUGCUUCUUGUGCCUCUAACCAUCCCAACCAUGCUCAAAAAUUAUGAUUGCUGCCACAGCCCAAAUGAAGAUGAUACGAUAAUUAAGGAAGUUGACAUUAUACGAGAAUUCAUCUUCUUCACCAAGAUUGUCAUCCCCUUCGUCAUCUUGGUGUACUGCACAGUGCGCAUCGUCAACAAGCUCAGGAAACAAACAAUCGGGGAUACAACCAAGCUGAAGAGAGCAGUCUUCCUGGUAACGUGCGUUAUGGUGGUCUUCUCCUUCAGCUUCCUCCCUUGCACGAUAGCCAGGAUGGUUCUGCUGAUUGCCCAGGUCGACAAGUGGCCCGAAAAAUACGAGGACAAAGCUGCUGUGGCCUUUGACGGCCUCAUGGUCCUCUCCUAUAUAAACUGUUUGCUGGAUCCGCCGGUCUACUGCUUCUCUAGCACCAAGUUUAAAGGCCUUUAUCUCUCGACUUAUUUCCCAUUCCUUAUAAAAAAAGUGCCAUUGCAAAGCUUAAGGGUAAACACAAUACAACGUCCACACAACGAUGUUAUUGGAAAUUAAUGGAAAAAGAGGCUGUUUGUCUGUGUGGUCACACAUGUCCAACCCAACAGGAUUACUACCAGAGACUGACAGUUUGUCCCAAAAAAAGACAUACUGACUGAAAGGGUCAAGUGCGCCUUGAAGACAAGAAGUCCAGUUUCAAUUGAUUCUUCAAUAGAAAUUAUUUAAAGGCACAUAUGUAAAUAGAAAGAUCUGGUUUGUGUGUUCAUCAGCAUUGUGUAAAUAUACACUGUACAGUAGUAGUGAGGGGGGUGCCCCUCAGCCAAAGUAUGCACAUCUGUUUUUCUGUUUGUCUUGGACAGGGAGUAUUUAUGACCAUGAGAAAUUCCUUUAAAGCGUUAAAAUAACAGUAAUCUUAUUUUUUUCAAAUCCAUACGAAUCUCACACAACCUUUCCAUCAACUUCCACGGUUAUACAACCAUUAGUGUUUAAUGGCAUCAGAAACUAUAACCAUGUCACCCGAAAAUCUUGUCAAAUGUAUUUUUCAUGAAGCCAUAAAUGGUAAUAAAUUUCAAACUAAGGGAACUAAAAAGAAAGAGGUAUCAAAUACGUGCCUGAGCACUGACUCCAAAAUAGACACAUAUUAGGCCAUGGUCAGUCAAAACUCAAUCCUAAAAGCCCAUGAAGCUGAUUCUUAAUGUUGAAUGAUUAUUGAAUUGUAUAACUGUUCAUACUUAAUGUAGAGCAGUAGUUCCCAAACUUUGGGGGCCAGUGAGUUAUAAGGGGAGGCGGGGCGAAGCAAAAUAUCAAUAAAUAAUGCAUGGUUCUAAUACACUGCUAGUUUGUAAAAGGACUGCCGGGUUAACGUAAAGCAGACGAUGAAACCACACCAAAAACACCAAAAGUACCAAAACAAAGGCAAGAAAAUACAUUGUGGGUAACACAAUUUGAUCUAAGGAGCCGACUGUCUAUUUUUGAGUCGAAUCUGACAGUAUCGGUGACUAUCCCUUAAAAACAACUGAUUGUUGAGUAUCUCUCUAUCUCUCUCUCUCUCUCUCUCUCUCUCUCUCUGGGGUCCGGUGAUUCUAGGUUUAAUUCAAUGUAAAUUUGACUCAUCUGUGUGUUAAAAAUGCAUCAUUGUGUACUGUAUCAUAAAAUAAGUCAAUGC
Molecule: RNA transcript, 2570 nt
Organism: Etheostoma spectabile (orangethroat darter)
Lineage: Eukaryota; Metazoa; Chordata; Actinopteri; Perciformes; Percidae
Gene: gpr31
Gene name: G protein-coupled receptor 31
Exons: 3
Source: RefSeq, a predicted model, not a curated record